GACGAACGCUGGCGGCGUGCCUAAUACAUGCAAGUAGAACGCACAGUUUAUACCGUAGCUUGCUACACCAUAGACUGUGAGUUGCGAACGGGUGAGUAACGCGUAGGUAACCUGCCUGGUAGCGGGGGAUAACUAUUGGAAACGAUAGCUAAUACCGCAUAAUAUUGAUUAUUGCAUGAUAAUUAAUUGAAAGGUGCAAUUGCACCACUACCAGAUGGACCUGCGUUGUAUUAGCUAGUAGGUGAGGUAACGGCUCACCUAGGCGACGAUACAUAGCCGAACGGCGAGGGUGAUCGGCCACACUGGGACUGAGACACGGCACAGAGGCAUACGGGAGGCAGCAGUAGGGAAUCUUCGGCAAUGGACGAAAGUCUGACCGAGCAACGCCGAGGGAGGGAAGAAGGUUUUCGGAUCGUAAAGCUCGGUUGUAAGAGAAGAACGGGUGUGAGAGUGGAAAGUUCACACUGUGACGGUAUCUUAUCAGAAAGGGACGGCUAACUACGUG
RNAcentral lists this ribosomal RNA (505 nucleotides) under uncultured bacterium. RNAcentral describes it as "partial 16S ribosomal RNA". It matches the Rfam family "Bacterial small subunit ribosomal RNA", at positions 28 to 507 of the family's 1533-position model. The record is from RNAcentral.